RNAcentral lists this ribosomal RNA (655 nucleotides) under uncultured bacterium. RNAcentral's name for it is "bacterial SSU rRNA". It matches the Rfam family "Bacterial small subunit ribosomal RNA", at positions 76 to 717 of the family's 1533-position model. The record is from RNAcentral.
CUCUUCGGGGAUGAUUAAACCGGCGCACGGGUGAGUAACACGUGAGUGACCUGCCUUUUAGACUGGAACAACUUACCGAAAGGUGAGCUAAUGCCGGAUGAGUUAUAUAAGUGCAUGUUUAUAUAGGAAAAGUUGGGGAGACCUGACGCUGAAAGAUGGACUCGCGUCCCAUUAGCUAGUUGGUAGGGUAAUGGCCUACCAAGGCGACGAUGGGUAGCCGGCCUGAGAGGGUGGCCGGCCACACUGGGACUGAGACACGGCCCAGACUCCUACGGGAGGCAGCAGUGGGGAAUUUUGCGCAAUGCUCGUAAGAGUGACGCAGCGACGCCGCGUGAAUGACGAAGGCCUUCGGGUCGUAAAGUUCUUUCGACAGGGAAGAAAAUGCCUAUAAGUAACUGUGUAUGUAUUGACGGUACCUGUAUAAGCAGCCCCGGCUAACUCCGUGCCAGCAGCCGCGGUAAUACGGAGGGGGCGAGCGUUGUUCGGAGUGACUGGGCGUAAAGAGCACGUAGGCGGUGUUGUAAGUCAUUAGUCAAAGACUAGAGCUCAACUUUAGUAAGGCUAGUGAUACUAUAAUACUAGAGUAUCAGAGAGGAUUGCAGAAUUCCUGGUGUAGCGGUGAAAUGCGUAGAUAUCAGGAGGAAUACCGUUAGCG